GAUGAACGCUAGCGGCGUGCUUAACACAUGCAAGUCGAGCGGGCAAUUUAUCUAGCACUGAUUACUUCAAAUGGAAAUCAUAAGUGUAAUCAUGAAUUUCUACCUUUAAUAAAGAAAAAAGAAAUUCAUGUACGCAAAUAGUGAUAACACAUUUUAGUGGAGUGAUGAGUGCUGGAUAAAUUGCUAGCGGCGGACGGGUGCGUAACACGUGGGUAACCUGCCCCUAUCACUGGGAUAACACACUGAAAAGUGUGCUAAUACCAGAUAAUAUAAGCUUUUGGCAUCAUUAGCUUAUCAAAGAAUUUCGGAUAGGGAUGGGCCCGCGUCUGAUUAGCUAGUUGGUGAGGUAACGGCUCACCAAGGCAACGAUCAGUAGCCGACCUGAGAGGGUGAUCGGCCACACUGGAACUGAGACACGGUCCAGACUCCUACGGGAGGCAGCAGUGGGGAAUAUUGCACAAU
RNAcentral lists this ribosomal RNA (462 nucleotides) under uncultured bacterium. RNAcentral's name for it is "bacterial SSU rRNA". It matches the Rfam family "Bacterial small subunit ribosomal RNA", at positions 28 to 372 of the family's 1533-position model. The record is from RNAcentral.